RNAcentral lists this small RNA (939 nucleotides) under Histoplasma capsulatum var. duboisii H88. Its description in RNAcentral is "Histoplasma capsulatum H88 hypothetical RNA". The record is from RNAcentral. Lineage: Eukaryota; Fungi; Ascomycota; Eurotiomycetes; Onygenales; Ajellomycetaceae.
UCUCUUGUGGAGAAUGAUGAUAAUAUUGAUGCUUUAUCAAGCUCUUUUAGCUCUUUAAAGCUAGAAACCGAAAAGCCGUUGUCCGAAGCCUUUAAGCAAGCAACUAAGAAGCCGCUCCCCGAUGUCUCUAAACCAGCCUCGAAGCCAGCAACUGAGAAGAGCCUUCCCGAAGUCUCGAAGGAAGCCUUCCAGCCAGCAAUAGAGAAGUCACUUUUUGGGGCGUUUAAGCUGGCAACUAAGAAGCCACUCUUUGGACUCUUUGGGGCGUCCAAGCCAGCGCCUGAGAAGCCUCUAAUAUUUGGGCCGUCUAAGCCUGUGCCUGAGAAACCUCUGGUAUUUGGGCCAUCUAAGCCAGCGCCUGAGAAGCCUCUAAUAUUUGGGCCAUCUAAGCCGGUGCCUGAGAAACCUCUGGUAUUUGGGCCGUCUAAGUGUGGUUCUAAUUAAUGGGUUAACUGCUGUUUUUACUCCUUUUUUAGUUAGUGAGAUGCAUUGUGGGAGCCCCAUACUUUCCGCCGCCGCAGCGCCAUUCACGCGCUUGAAGCCUCCACCUUAACAGAUUCCCUAUAUGUUUUCUACGCAGCGAAGCUGCAGUCCCUUUCCUGUGUUAGCUACGGCAGGUCUUCUUGUUUUGUUUUUGCCUGUUCUUUUGUCCUUAGUUAAAUGCUAGACCUAGAUUGAAUACAGUCCUUUCUGCUUACUUGCAGCUGUUUCUUGUUCAGUGCCGCCUAACGCGCACCACCCACGCCCACCUCGUUAAUGGUUUAUACAUAUAUAUGUGUGUGCUUCUUGCUGUUAAAGUCUUACUGUAUUUCAUAAUUCUUGCUAUUAGUCUCUUUUAUAUUGUAAUUACUUUUUAAUUACCAGCGUCGUCCGUCAUUAGCAUCGUUAGAAUGCUAAUAACUAAUGACAUCUUUUUUGCCUAUAUAUUCUUUAUGGCCC